AUGGAUCCGGCGGGUCUGCUACCCGGCGACGUGCUCGCGGACGUCCUCCGGCGCCUGAUGCCGCGCAGCCUCGCCGCCUGCCGCUCCGUCUGCAAGGAGUGGUGCGCCGCCGUCGACGCCCACGGCCUGCUGCGCAAGGACCUCCUGCCGCUCUCCCUGGCCGGCAUCUUCGCCGUCUACAACUUCGUUGACGGCUAUCACCUUCCCCCGGCGUUCCUCUCGCGCCCCUCUGUCGCGGGCAAGAUCCAAGGUAACCUCAGCUACCUCGACGACGUCCACGAUGAGUGGUCCCACAUUAUGGGUCACUGCAACGGCCUCCUCCUCCUCUGGGGAGGCGUGGCCAAUCCGGCCACGCGGCAGUGGGCGUGUUUACCGCGUCAUCCUGAUCGGACAGCGACCAAAGGCUUCAUCAAACGCGACUUCCUCGCGUACGAUCCUAUGGUCUCGCCACACUUUGAGGUGUUCUUCAUGCAGUGUGUUCGCCGUCGGUCCAAGAACGAGGUCGCAUUGGACCUUGCAAACCCAAACUCAGAGUGGCCCCCAUCGCCCUACACCAUAAGCGCAUUCUCGUCAGAGACAUGGCUGUGGGAGGAGAGAUCUUUUAUUAGAGAAGGGAUGGCUCCACGGUCCAUCGACCCCAAGCUACUACCACUCAUGAAAAACGUGUUGUUCCCUCGUGAUGCUGUGUAUUGGCGGGGCCGGCUCUAUGUGUACAACAUAUUUUUUGUUAUCAGAUUGGAUUUAGGGGAUAAUAAGUACCGAGUAAUUGAACUCCCCCCGAUUAGUGAAGCACGCGGAGAUAUUAUGCCUCAUUUGGGAAAAUCCGGGAAUGGCGUUUACUAUGGAUUCGUCGGUGAUUGCUGCAAACUUCAGAUUUGGUUUCUUAAUGAAUCAAUUGAUCACACCGAAUGGAUGUUGAAGCAUGAGAUUGGCCUCAAGCCGUUGCUAGAAAAUUUUCCUUGGGAACACAGUCAUGGCUCUUGGUUCGUGCAAGGUUUGAGGGAUAACAAUGAUGAAACACUUGACAGAGAGAAACUGGAAUGGGAUUCAGACAACGAUGAUGCCACUACUGCUUCUGCCACUGAAGUUAGUGUUCAGAAAAAGUUCCAUAAAUACAUUUCAAGGAUACUUGGAUUUCAUCCUUACAAGGAGAUUAUCUUUUUGCACAUAUCGGAUACAAGAGUAGUGGCCUACCAUCUUAAGAACUCCAAGGUUGAGGAUUUGGGGUGCUUACCCGUAGAUGGUGAUGAUUGGAUACAAUCGUCCUGUGUAUACACGCCUUGCUGGAUAGAGAGCUGCUUGAGAGCAAAUAAUGUAGAACCCAAUAGUGAGCUCUAG
RNAcentral lists this ribosomal RNA (1338 nucleotides) under Triticum aestivum (bread wheat). Its description in RNAcentral is "partial small subunit ribosomal RNA". Lineage: Eukaryota; Viridiplantae; Streptophyta; Magnoliopsida; Poales; Poaceae. The record is from RNAcentral.